AAGAUGGCGACCGGCGCACGGGUGAGUAACACGUAUCCAACCUGCCGAUAACUCCGGAAUAGCCUUUCGAAAGAAAGAUUAAUGCCGGAUGGCAUACGAAUAUCGCAUGAUAUUUUUAUUUAAAGAAUUUCGGUUAUCGAUGGGGAUGCGUUCCAUUAGUUUGUUGGCGGGGUAACGGCCCACCAAGACUACGAUGGAUAGGGGUUCUGAGAGGAAGGUCCCCCACAUUGGAACUGAGACACGGUCCAA
This 249-nucleotide ribosomal RNA is filed under the name uncultured bacterium. Its description in RNAcentral is "partial 16S ribosomal RNA". It matches the Rfam family "Bacterial small subunit ribosomal RNA", at positions 85 to 334 of the family's 1533-position model. The record is from RNAcentral.